RNAcentral lists this transfer-messenger RNA (363 nucleotides) under bovine gut metagenome. It matches the Rfam family "transfer-messenger RNA". Rfam says of the family: Bacterial tmRNA, also known as 10Sa RNA or SsrA, is named for its dual tRNA and mRNA-like properties. Its role is to liberate the mRNA from a stalled ribosome. The record is from RNAcentral.
GGGGGUGAACUGGAUUCGACCGGGCCCUGAAGGAUGUUGCCGCGUGUCGUGGUUGGUCAGCAGGCCACGUAAAAAGCCGACUAAAAAAUCAAUUGCCAAUAACCAAAUGGCUAUGGCCGCCUAAGAAAAGGCAGCCCUGGUCCUAGAGCCUUCGCCGAAGAGGCGCUUGCGACCGGUCAUCCAAUUUCGGAUCGCGUCCCGUCACGCCGAACACGCGGGACGUUAAAAAACGUUUUCGGACCGUCCAAGAAGAAUCGCUGCCGAUUUCGAGUCUUCGCGGAUUAAAUCCAAACAGAUCGGACACACACGUAGACGCGCAUUUGGAUCGGUUUCGGGACGCGGGUUCAAUUCCCGCCACCUCCA